Molecule: ribosomal RNA, 253 nt
Filed under: uncultured bacterium
Lineage: Bacteria
Description: partial 16S ribosomal RNA
Rfam family: Bacterial small subunit ribosomal RNA
Source: RNAcentral
UACGUAGGGUGCAAUCGUUGUCCGGAAUUAUUGGGCGUAAAGAGCUCGUAGGCGGUUUGUUGCGUCGGCUGUGAAAUCCCGAGGCUCAACCUCGGGUCUGCAGUCGAUACGAGCAAACUAGAGUGUUGCAGGGGAGACUGGAAUUCCUGGUGUAGCGGUGAAAUGCGCAGAUAUCAGGAGGAACACCGGUGGCGAAGGCGGGUCUCUGGGCAACAACUGACGCUGAGGAGCGAAAGCGUGGGGAGCGAACAGG